RNAcentral lists this transfer RNA (57 nucleotides) under Ovis aries (sheep). It matches the Rfam family "tRNA", at positions 8 to 63 of the family's 71-position model. From Rfam's summary of the family: Transfer RNA (tRNA) molecules are approximately 80 nucleotides in length. Their secondary structure includes four short double-helical elements and three loops (D, anti-codon, and T loops). The record is from Rfam by way of RNAcentral. Lineage: Eukaryota; Metazoa; Chordata; Mammalia; Artiodactyla; Bovidae.
UGUCUCAGACAGUAAAGAACCUGCCUGCAAUGCAGGAGACCCAGGUUCGAUCCCUGG